GACGAACGCUGGCGGCGUGCUUAACACAUGCAAGUCGAGCGGUAAGGCCCCUUCGGGGGUACACGAGCGGCGAACGGGUGAGUAACACGUGGGUGACCUGCCCUCAGCUCUGGGAUAAGCCUGGGAAACUGGGUCUAAUACCGGAUAUGACUCCAUGACGCAUGUCGUGGGGUGGAAAGCCUUGUGCGGCUGGGGAUGGGCCCGCGGCCUAUCAGCUUGUUGGUGGGGUGAUGGCCUACCAAGGCGACGACGGGUAGCCGGCCUGAGAGGGCGACCGGCCACACUGGGACUGAGACACGGCCCAGACUCCUACGGGAGGCGAGCAGUGGGGAAUCUUGCGCAAUGGGCGAAAGCCUGACGCAGCGACGCCGCGUGAGGGAUGACGGCCUU
This 390-nucleotide ribosomal RNA is filed under the name uncultured bacterium. RNAcentral describes it as "bacterial SSU rRNA". It matches the Rfam family "Bacterial small subunit ribosomal RNA", at positions 28 to 418 of the family's 1533-position model. The record is from RNAcentral.